This 1820-nucleotide ribosomal RNA is filed under the name Triticum aestivum (bread wheat). Its description in RNAcentral is "partial small subunit ribosomal RNA". Lineage: Eukaryota; Viridiplantae; Streptophyta; Magnoliopsida; Poales; Poaceae. The record is from RNAcentral.
CUGGACUCCAUCUCACCCACCCGCCCGCACCGCUCACCAGACGAGGUAAUUUAUUCACUACCAACUGUUUUUUUACGAUGGGAGCAGACCCCACUCUCCGCAGUUUCUGAUGCUAUUUGGGAACGGAAGCGGCGAGCGGUUCGGAGCUGAGCGACUAGGUUUCCGCGGUGAGCCGACGGCAGCUGCCGGUGGAUUCGGGUCUGCGCGACGCUGGGAGUGGCCCUGUUGGCUGGGUGCAGCGUCCAGGCGAGCAGCGUUUUCCUCGUCGGCCGACGGCCAUGCCACGACCAGCCUCCACCCUCCGCUCCCUUCGUCGCGCUGGCGAUGGCCCGGCCUGCCUGCCAUUCCCCGCCCCCGAGCCCUGCCAUAUCCUACCGUUGUCCCAUCGGGGCCGGAAUCCCUCCCACUUCCUUUUUCCUUUUUGUUCCGCAUAACAACAGGGAGUCUCUGUAUGUAGCAACGACAGCGGCCCCCUUCCUAGAACCUUUGAAAGCAGACUUCGCGUAAGAUGCCCUUACUUCUUUAACGAGCUAGACGAGGCUCCAUGGCCUUCGUGUCCUAGCUGCUACCCUCCGGACAGGUUUCUCUCUUUUCCUGUUUCCUUCUCCCCCUCUGUAUGUGUGUGCAUGAGUGCGUCUGUAUUCUUCUGAUUAGUCAAGUACUGAUGGUUAGAUUAAUUGGCAUGUUAUGCAGGACGAGUAUUUUGCAGGAAGCCCCAUUAGUAGGUUUAUAUUAUUGUUUGGCUUUGGCUUCUGUAUAUGUUUAUUCCCAAUUAGGAAUCAGCUACUGUACUACAGUAGCAUGUCUCCCAUUCUGAAUCUCCAAUGUAUUUUAGAAAUCCUAUAUUAAUCAUUUAAUUUAUGACAUAAUUGGAGAAUCCUCAAACAAAACUUGUUGAUUUGAUGGUUGCAAACCUUAAUGUUUCCAUUUUUCAAAUGCCAUGUAAUGUUUCUCAUAGGCUAGACAUAUACAUGUUGGCUUAAAUCUGCAUUUAUGCUUGGCUGUCUAUCUAAAUCCAAUUUCUUCCUUUAUUUUUGUUGGUUUGAUGAUGCAUUUCUCUCAGAGCUUAGUUAUACUGUUGUUAGCUGAAUUUAAUCGUAGAAUGAUCUUUCCAUGUCAUGUAAAAAUAUCAACCUUCUCUUCUUUAUGUUAUGAUGAUUUUAGAAUGUUAUAGGUAUACUGUUGUUAACUGAAUAUAAUUAUGGACUGAUCUGAUUUCCAUGCCAUGAGCAAGUAUUGAUUUAUUCUUUCAUGGGAAGUAUCUGCUCCAUGCUCCAGUUUGGUCACAUUUAGUAAGAAAUUCAGUUAUUUGAAUUUGAAUAGAUUGCCCAUAUGCAGAGGUUAAAGCAUUGUAUUUUUUAUUUUGAUCUCAGCCCCAUAUUUACUUUUUUAGGGCAUAGCUGUCCUACAAGCUAAAUACUCGUUUCGAGCUGAGAUUAUGUGUCGCCACCUUCCCCUCUCCAUAAACGAUUGCCAGUGACACCUGCAUCAACGACUGCUUGGUUCUCUCCUGAGAAGACAAGUGUGCAAAAAUCUUCCUACGAAAUCUUGCUGUGGUUAAGCUGGCAAUUUCCAUCACAAUCUGGGCAAAAGACAUUCUGGCAGCCAUUCUUCUACUUGCUGCACUGCAUUUUUAUGUAUUUUCAUUCCACAUGAGCACGUUCAUGUGUUUUCAUUUUUUUUUUGAAGCUAUGGCCAUUCAUAUCUUGUAUUCUGCUGAAAUAAUGAAUGUAAAUAUUGUUUACUAUAAUUUUGUGCCAAAAUUAUUUGAAUUUUCUGGUUGUCACCAAACCUGUGUGAACAAUUGGUGUUGAUGUUCC